Molecule: ribosomal RNA, 1500 nt
Filed under: uncultured bacterium
Lineage: Bacteria
Description: bacterial SSU rRNA
Rfam family: Bacterial small subunit ribosomal RNA
Source: RNAcentral
UAGAGUUUGAUCAUGGCUCAGAUUGAACGCUGGCGGCAGGCUUAACACAUGCAAGUCGAGCGGGGGAAGGUAGCUUGCUACUGGACCUAGCGGCGGACGGGUGAGUAAUGCUUAGGAAUCUGCCUAUUAGUGGGGGACAACAUCUCGAAAGGGAUGCUAAUACCGCAUACGUCCUACGGGAGAAAGCAGGGGAUCUUCGGACCUUGCGCUAAUAGAUGAGCCUAAGUCGGAUUAGCUAGUUGGUGGGGUAAAGGCCUACCGAGGCGACGAUCUGUAGCGGGUCUGAGAGGAUGAUCCGCCACACUGGGACUGAGACACGGCCCAGACUCCUACGGGAGGCAGCAGUGGGGAAUAUUGGACAAUGGGCGCAAGCCUGACCCAGCCAUGCCGCGUGUGUGAAGAAGGCCUUAUGGUUGUAAAGCACUUUAAGCGAGGAGGAGGCUACUUUAGAUAAUACCUAGAGAUAGUGGACGUUACUCGCAGAAUAAGCACCGGCUAACUCUGUGCCAGCAGCCGCGGUAAUACAGAGGGUGCAAGCGUUAAUCGGAUUUACUGGGCGUAAAGCGCGCGUAGGCGGCUAAUUAAGUCAAAUGUGAAAUCCCCGAGCUUAACUUGGGAAUUGCAUUCGAUACUGGUUAGCUAGAGUGUGGGAGAGGAUGGUAGAAUUCCAGGUGUAGCGGUGAAAUGCGUAGAGAUCUGGAGGAAUACCGAUGGCGAAGGCAGCCAUCUGGCCUAACACUGACGCUGAGGUGCGAAAGCAUGGGGAGCAAACAGGAUUAGAUACCCUGGUAGUCCAUGCCGUAAACGAUGUCUACUAGCCGUUGGGGCCUUUGAGGCUUUAGUGGCGCAGCUAACGCGAUAAGUAGACCGCCUGGGGAGUACGGUCGCAAGACUAAAACUCAAAUGAAUUGACGGGGGCCCGCACAAGCGGUGGAGCAUGUGGUUUAAUUCGAUGCAACGCGAAGAACCUUACCUGGCCUUGACAUAGUAAGAACUUUCCAGAGAUGGAUUGGUGCCUUCGGGAACUUACAUACAGGUGCUGCAUGGCUGUCGUCAGCUCGUGUCGUGAGAUGUUGGGUUAAGUCCCGCAACGAGCGCAACCCUUCUCCUUAUUUGCCAGCGAGUAAUGUCGGGAACUUUAAGGAUACUGCCAGUGACAAACUGGAGGAAGGCGGGGACGACGUCAAGUCAUCAUGGCCCUUACGGCCAGGGCUACACACGUGCUACAAUGGUCGGUACAAAGGGUUGCUACACAGCGAUGUGAUGCUAAUCUCAAAAAGCCGAUCGUAGUCCGGAUUGGAGUCUGCAACUCGACUCCAUGAAGUCGGAAUCGCUAGUAAUCGCGGAUCAGAAUGCCGCGGUGAAUACGUUCCCGGGCCUUGUACACACCGCCCGUCACACCAUGGGAGUUUGUUGCACCAGAAGUAGCUAGCCUAACUGCAAAGAGGGCGGUUACCACGGUGUGGCCGAUGACUGGGGUGAAGUCGUAACAAGGUAACC